AUUUGCAAAUGGAGAUCAGAAACCAUUGAAUCUGGGAACCUCUUUUUUUCAGGGUCUCUGGUAAGAAGAGUGAAAGCAAAGAAGCCAAGAAAUCUGAAGAACCAAGAAUUCGGAAGAAGCCGGGACCCAAGCCCGGAUGGAAGAAGAAGCUUCGUUGUGAGAGGUGAUGCCUGGAACGCGAGGCUCGCCCUGCCUGUCGGGGCCGGGGCUCCAUGCAUGCUCUUCAUUGCAGGGAGGAGCUUCCCACCAUCUACAAGUGUCCUUACCAGGGCUGCACAGCCGUGUAUCGAGGCGCUGACGGCAUGAAGAAGCACAUCAAGGAGCAUCAUGAGGAGGUCCGGGAGCGGCCCUGCCCCCAUCCUGGCUGCAACAAGGUUUUCAUGAUUGAUCGCUACCUGCAGCGCCACGUGAAGCUCAUCCACACAGAGGUGCGGAACUACAUCUGUGACGAGUGUGGACAAACCUUCAAGCAGCGGAAGCACCUUCUCGUCCACCAAAUGCGAC
RNAcentral lists this small RNA (504 nucleotides) under Pongo abelii (Sumatran orangutan). RNAcentral describes it as "retained intron". The record is from RNAcentral. Lineage: Eukaryota; Metazoa; Chordata; Mammalia; Primates; Hominidae.